CAUGGCUGUCGUCAGCUCGUGUCGUGAGAUGUUGGGUUAAGUCCCGCAACGAGCGCAACCCUUGUCUUUAGUUGCCAUCAUUAAGUUGGGCACUCCUAAAGAGACUGCCGGUAGUCAAACCGGAGGAAGGUGGGGAUGACGUCAAGUCCUCAUGGCCUUUAUGCCCAGGGCUACACACGUGCUACAAUGGGCGGUACAAAGAGAAGCAACCUCGCGAGGGUGAGCAAAUCUCAAAAAGCCGUUCUCAGUUCGGAUUGAAGUCUGCAACUCGACUUCAUGAAGUCGGAAUCGCUAGUAAUCGCGGAUCAGCAGACCGCGGUGAAUACGUUCCCGGGUUUU
Molecule: ribosomal RNA, 339 nt
Filed under: uncultured Syntrophaceae bacterium
Lineage: Bacteria; Pseudomonadati; Thermodesulfobacteriota; Syntrophia; Syntrophales; Syntrophaceae
Description: bacterial SSU rRNA
Rfam family: Bacterial small subunit ribosomal RNA
Source: RNAcentral